Molecule: RNA transcript, 4133 nt
Organism: Panicum virgatum (switchgrass)
Lineage: Eukaryota; Viridiplantae; Streptophyta; Magnoliopsida; Poales; Poaceae
Exons: 6
Source: RefSeq, a predicted model, not a curated record
GCACGCACGCAACCCAGAUCCCGUUUUUCCUCUCCGCCGUGGUUGGAAUCCGGCGAGGAUUCGGGUCUGAGGGAUGAGGGAGUGUUGCUCGGGGAGGCAGUUCAUGUAGAUCCGCCAUCAACGACGCCCGCCAUCCCGAAUCGACGACACCUCCUUUGCAGAAUCAUCGCCGCCGCCUGCGGGCACCAUCCAGACCGCUCUCCGCUGCACGGCGUCCGCCUCGCCCAACACCAGCAUGCCGUCUGCCUCGCCCACCACCAGGACGCCCUCCAUCACGCACGCCAAGCAGAUGCCGUCGUGCAUGCGGCAGGUCCCGGUAGCCGGCGGAACGGCCGUCAGCCUCCUCGACUGCAGCGACAGGCUCACGAGCGCCAUGGCCGAGCAGAGCAGAGCAGCUUCCAGCCCGCUGCUCAUCUACUGCAGUAAUUGAUGAAGAGCAGCGCCAUCCCAACCCCUGCAAUAAUUGAUGCUCAACAUGGCCUCCAGUUAAAGUGCAGCAAGAAUUGACAGGAUGGAUCGAAGUUGGGUUCAUGGCAGAUUGUUUUCCCCUGAACACAUUGAAGGUGUCAGACAAUUCAUGAGCUUCAUUCAAGAAAAGUUCAGUGAGAAUGUUGAAAUCUUGUGCCCUUGUGGUAGAUGCCUUAAUCAGAAAUACCUUUGUCAGCCUCUUGUGGAGAAGCACAUUUUGAUGAAUGGUAUGGAUAGUACUUAUACUCGGUGGAUUCAUCAUGGAGAAAGCAUUGAUGUAGAAGUUGUUGAGCAUCCUAUUGAUUUGCAUGACCAUAGUGAUGGUUUCAUUCAUGGAGAAGAUGACAAUGUUGAUCGUUUGGAAGGGCUUAUAGGAGACCUACACACUGCAGUAGAACAAGAAAGACAGGAUGAAGAAGAUCUGGAUGGUGAUGCAGAACCUCAUGAUAAAGAGCCAUUUUUGAAAAUAGUGAUGAAAGAGGCGAAACAUUAGUUGUACCCUGGUUGCACCAAAUUUUCAAGGUUCUCUUUUGUGGUAAAGCUUCUUCAUAUGAAGUCAUUAUAUAGGAUAAGCAAUUCUGACUUUACCGCAAUAUUGAAGCUAUUGGCUGAAGCAUUCCCUGAUUGCAAUACAAUCCCCAAAUCAUAUAAUGAAGCAAAGAAUCUUCUUAAGGAAUUAGGUCUUGGAUAUGAAUCAAUACAUGUGUGCUACAAUAAUUGUGUGCUCUUCAGAAAAGGAUAUGCCAAGCAUGACAGUUGCCCCGUUUAUGGUCUGUUAUGAUGGAAAGAUCCUGAAAGAAAGAAAAUUCCACAGAAAGUGUUGCGGCAUUUUCCAUUGGCACCUAGGCUAAAGAGGAUGUUUGUGACCAAAAAAGCAUCGGAAAAGGCACAGUGGCACAAGUUAAAGCGGCAGCCUAGGGAGGAGGAAAUGAGCCACCCAGCUGAUGGUGAGGCAUGGAAAGAUUUUGACAAAGAAUAUCCAGAUUUUGCAAAAGAUCCAAGAAACCUUAGACUUGGCCUUGCAACUGAUGGGUUCAAUCUUUUUUCAGAAAAGAACACAAGAUACAGCAUGUGGCUUGUGUUUGUGGUGCCUUACAACCUUCCCCCUUGGGCAUGCAUGGAGGAGUCAAACUUCAUGAUGGCUUUGCUUAUUCCAGGUCCUACAUGCCUUGGGAAAGAUUUUGAUGUGUUUUUAGAGCCUCUUGUGGAAGAUUUGCUUGAGCUUUGGGCAGGGGUCCGUGCUUAUGAUGCUAUUACUGGCAAAAUGUUUAAGCUCCGUGCUGCAGUUUUAUGGUGCAUCUAUGAUUACCCAGCAUUGAGCACUCUUUCUGGGCGUACCACAAAGGGCUAUUUUGCUUGUACUCAUAGUGACAAGCACCCUCUUUCAUACUGCCUAAGAGGCAAAAUUGGGUAUUUUUGACACUUUCGUUUCCUUCCAAAGGGCAAUCCCUUGCGGAGAAACAAUGAAUUUGUUGGUCUUCAUGAAAGCAAUGAUCCUCCAAGUGAAUUCUCUAUACAAGAGCUAUUGGCUGAAUUGGAGAAAGUUAAAGAUGUUAGACCUGGGAAGCCCCAAGAAAGUGGGACGAUGAGGAAGCGUUCUGAAUUGAAAAGUGGUCGUGAAAAUUUGGAGCCGGAUGGUUAGUUUAUGGAAGUUGCCAUAUUGGCAUAAAUUGAAGCUAAGACACAAUCUUCAUGUCAUGCACAUUGAGAAAAAUAUAUGUGAGAGCCUGAUUGCGACAAUUCUCAAUAUAGUUGGGAAGACAAAGGACACAGCUAAACCUAGGCUUGACCUUAAAGAUUUGAGAAUUAAAAAGGAGUUGCAAUUUAGAUAAGAUGGAGAUUCAUGUGAGAUGCCUCAUGCUCGAUAUACCUUGAAUGAUAAACAAAAGAAGGCCUUUUGUGAAUUUCUAGGAAAGGUAAAGUUUCCGGAUGGAUUUGCUUCCAACAUCUCAAGGUGUUUAAAUGCCGAGGGAACCAAGGUACAAGGGCUAAAAACACAUGAUUGUCAUAUUCUGUUGCAAAGGAUAUUACCAGCUGCAAUGAGAGGAUUUUUGGACAAGGAUAUUUAUGAAGCAAUAGCAGAGUUAGGGAAAUUUUUUAGGGAAUUGUGUAGUAGAACCUUUAAUAGGGAUGUGUUGGCUCAAAUGAAGAAAGAAAUCCCUAUAAUAUUGGUGAAGCUUGAGAAAAUAUUCCCCCCUGCUUUCUUUGAUGUGAUGAUGCACCUUCCUGUUCAUUUACCUGAUGAGGCAUUACUCCGAGGUCCUGUGCAGUAUGGGUGGAUGUAUCCAAUUGAAAGUCGGUUGUAUACCUUGAAGCGCUAUGUGAGAAAUAGGGCACGGCCAGAGGGUUCUAUUGCUGAGGCAUAUAUUGCUGAUGAAUGUCUGACAUUUUGCUCUAGAUACAUGGAUGAUGUUGACACCAGAUUUAAUCGGGAACCAAGAAACAUGGGUUUUUCUAAUGAAGAAGCUUAUGGUGUUGACGUCUUUGGGCAUGGAGUUAAUUUUACUUCUGCACCUGAACUUGUAUAUGAUGAAAAUGGCUUUGAUCAAAUGGUGUGGUUUGUGCUCAACAAUUGUAGUCAAGUGGAGACUUAUGUUGAGCAAAGUUUGAUGUUGACACAAGGGAUCCGACAAUUAAGAAAGCUUGUAUUGAGAUGAUGAAGCUUGCGGUUCGCCAACAACGUUACAAGUUGAAGAAGGAAUUUUUCGAUCCUUUUCCACUACAUUUAGUUAUGAAAACUUCUCCAGUCCAUUCCAUGUCUGAUAAACAGUGGAUUGACCUUGGGGAAUCAUGGAAGACUCCAAAAAAAUGGAGAUAUGUCAAAUGAACAAAGACAACCGAGGCAAUGUUAUGUUACAUCAAACUACUGGGUCCCGGAGUUACAUGGUCUUUGUUGAAAAUAUUGUGUUGUGAACAAGAUUGAUACAUGUAUAUAUUGUUUUCAGGCAGAUAAGUACAGUGGUCAUGAACCUGAUGCAUUUGAUUUGUUCAAGGACUGCCACUACAGCAAGAAAAUGAAGGGCUACAUGCCUGCUGUGCAGGCUGCAAUUGCUCAAAUGGAGAGCAAGUUAUCUACAACUACAGAAAGUGAAGCACCCAAGACUGUGAAUCAGGUUGUAGCUAAUGUGCUGGCUGAGAAAACACGAAAGAAUCAGUUCCUUCGCAAUGUGGGGAUCGAGGUUGCAAAACCUACAUCCAGUGAACAGAAUGGUGCUGUCUCAGAUCUGCAAGCAGAGAAUGCUGAACUUCGGUCGAUUAUCAACACCCAACAUAGACAGAUUGAUGAUUUGACAAUGAAGCAAGCUGAGCUGGAAGCGAAACUUGAACUAGUGCUAAGUCAGGUUCGACGAAGUUAAGCAACUGCAUAUGUUGUUCUGCGGUACCACUGCUACCAUUCUGCUGCUGCAUGCUGCUGUCUUUUGCUGUUUUUGGUGGAGUGCCUAUGUGCCAUGGGAUUGGAUGUGUUCUGCAACAAACUUUUGUUGCUGCAUCAGCAUUUUGUUGCAGAACACAUCAUGGGUGUGAUGUUGCUUCAACAAACUUGUUUGUUGUCAUGUUAAAUUUCUGGAUUGCCGGAUGUGUUUAUAUCUGGAUGAAAACUAGAGAUGAUGUAUCUGUGUGCUAAUAUUGAAACUGAUUAUUGUGCCAAAAAAUUAUUGCUGUUA